Molecule: ribosomal RNA, 497 nt
Filed under: uncultured bacterium
Lineage: Bacteria
Description: partial 16S ribosomal RNA
Rfam family: Bacterial small subunit ribosomal RNA
Source: RNAcentral
GACGAACGCUGGCGGCGUGCCUAAUACAUGCAAGUUGAGCGCUGAAGGUUGGUACUUGUACCAACUGGAUGAGCAGCGAACGGGUGAGUAACGCGUGGGGAAUCUGCCUUUGAGCGGGGGACAACAUUUGGAAACGAAUGCUAAUACCGCAUAAAAACUUUAAACACAAGUUUUAAGUUUGAAAGAUGCAAUUGCAUCACUCAAAGAUGAUCCCGCGUUGUAUUAGCUAGUUGGUGAGGUAAAGGCUCACCAAGGCGAUGAUACAUAGCCGACCUGAGAGGGUGAUCGGCCACAUUGGGACUGAGACACGGCCCAAACUCCUAUGGGAGGCAGCAGUAGGGAAUCUUCGGCAAUGGACGAAAGUCUGACCGAGCAACGCCGCGGGAGUGAAGAAGGGUUUCGGAUCGUAAAACUCUGUUGGUAGAGAAGAACGUUGGUGAGAGUGGAAAGCUCAUCAAGUGACGGUAACUACCCAGAAAGGGACGGCUAACUACGUG